UUCCAGCUCCAAUAGCGUAUAUUAAAGUUGUUGCGGUUAAAAAGCUCGUAGUUGAAUUUGUGUCCCGCACUGUCGGUUCACCGCCCGCGGUGCUAACUGGCAUGUUUGCGGGACGUCCUGCCGGUGGAUGUAAGUGGAGAUUUGAUUUCGGUCUUUUCUCUGCUCAUCCGACUUAUAAAUCCUGUCGCGGUGCUCUUAACUGAGUGUCGAGGCGGGCCGGCACGUUUACUUUGAACAAAUUAGAGUGCUCAAAGCAGGCUAAUUAAUGCCUGAAUAAUUAGUGCAUGGAAUAAUGGAACAGGACCUUGGUUCUAUUUUGUUGGUUUUCGGAACCCCAAGGUAAUGAUUAAUAGGGACAGAUGG
This 363-nucleotide ribosomal RNA is filed under the name Limodromus assimilis. RNAcentral describes it as "SSU rRNA". It matches the Rfam family "Eukaryotic small subunit ribosomal RNA", at positions 583 to 885 of the family's 1831-position model. Lineage: Eukaryota; Metazoa; Arthropoda; Insecta; Coleoptera; Carabidae. The record is from RNAcentral.